Molecule: long non-coding RNA, 1985 nt
Organism: Dicentrarchus labrax (European seabass)
Lineage: Eukaryota; Metazoa; Chordata; Actinopteri; Moronidae
Exons: 4
Source: RefSeq, a predicted model, not a curated record
UGGUCCCUGAAGGUUUUCAAAAUCACAACCGUACAUUUAUGUGAACAGCUCAAAAAGUAAAAACAAAACAAAAAAACAGCUGAAGUGGACAAACAGUUGGACUCACCCCAGGGCUCUGGCUGACUGGAUGACCUGAUGAGACAAAAUAAAAGUGGGUCAGAUACUUCUGAUGACUGCUUAUACAACGUUGGAGAUUUUCCACCGGGGACAUUCAACAUUCAACAUUCAACAAACACACAUGGGUGCAUCGAGAAAUGUGUCAUCUUUUUUCUGCAUCAUGCUCCGCUCCCGCAGCAUAAUGUGAAAUGUUACAGACACAGGUGCAACAUUGGUGAUAACAAAAAAAAAUCAGGUCACAACCUGCUCCUCUAGUCGGGCCAGUCUUUUCUCCACAGCAUCAGUGCCUGUCUCCUCUUCCCUCUCCAGCCGAUCGUGUAUGGUGGUAACCCUCAGGAAACAAACAAGAACAGUGUUGGUGUCUGGUUAACUUUGAAAACAUUGACUGUAUGUUUCAGCAUUACGAGUAAAACACACAGGCCUAUUUAAAGUGUGAUCUUAUAUAUAUAUAUAUAUAUAUACAGCGGUAACAUGGAUUGUUACACAGCUACAUUAGGCUUAAUUCCUGCAGGAUUUUACUUUUGGGCCGUGUCCAGGAUGCGCCGCUCCAUGCUCUGGCUCUGCUCCUGCUGCGUGGACAGCAGGUAUCUGUCCUUCAUCAAGGCCUCCCAGGACAACAGCUCCUCUUCCUCAUUCACAGGAAAAUUCCCAAAUAUGAUGAGGUACGGCUCAUACACUGCCCCUCGGAGGAUCCAGUCCAGCCGAUUGUCAUUGUGGAUGAGGAUGCCUUGUUUGGCCACACCGUACGCCACCACCCAGAUACUCAGCAGGAACAUGAAGAAGAACAUAUCCAUCAUCUGGAGGACAAAAAUGUAAAUUAAUCUGAAUACUGCAACCACUGACAGAGAGAACAGCCAGAUGUAAAGCAGCACCUCUGCAGGAGAGGGUGUGACCUGGAAGUCGACCAUCAGCACCACAGCAAACAGGAAGAGGAAGGCGAAGUAAGACACAAUAUUCCAGUAGAACUUCACCUGCGGGGAGCUGUACAGGUAGACCAGUCUGGACCAGUUACCCAGAGGGUUCAGGCGCCUCAUGCUGGGGCGAUUACUGUGGACAGAAAGGUCAGAGGUGACUUGAUGUUUUCAUGCUUCACUGGUUACUUUUCUUUCUUAAUUUCUUUCUGACCUGCAAGUGACCACCAAAUUGAAAUCACUAGAGAGUAACAAAAAUGUUGAAGGUGUCUAUAAACUGUCAUUUGUUUUCUGUGUAUUAAGAGGCAACUGUUUACUUUAAUGUGUACUUCAUCUUUCUAUUUUGCUUCUAUUGUGUUAUCUAUUUACUCUGUUAAUCUCUUCCUCUCUCUUUCUGCACUCAUUCAUGUCCCAUUACUGCAUGUUACUAACUUCACUUCUUCCCCGGAGUUCUUGUGCUUUUCUCAUCUUGCAGGUUCUCAUUGAUCCUGGUGGAGCCUCCUGCCAUGGUCCUGUUUGACUGUACACCUGUCUGUCUGUCUGUCUGUCUGUCUGUCUGUCUGUCUGUCUGUCUCUCUCUCUCUCUCUCUCUCUCUCUCUCUCUCUCUCUCUCUCUGUCUCUCUCUCUCUCUCACCCCAACUGGUCGAGACAGACGACCACCCACCUAGAGCCGGAGGAUCUGUCCUAGGUUUCUGCCUUUUAACAGGCAGUUUUUCCUUGCCCUUGUUGCCAAGUGCUUGCUCAUGGUGGUACUGUUGGGUCUCUGUAAAUUAUGUUAUAAGGAGUUCGGUCUAGACCUGCUCUAUUUGAAAAGCUGUUAUGAAUUGGCGCUUUACAAAUAACAGUGAAUUGAACAUUGAAUCUUUUUGCGCAGCACUUUGGAAACCUUGUGUUUAAAAUUGUUAAAAUUGUGCUAUGUAAAUAAAGUGGAUUGGAUUGGAUACUUACUAGCUAAG